Molecule: ribosomal RNA, 479 nt
Filed under: uncultured bacterium
Lineage: Bacteria
Description: bacterial SSU rRNA
Rfam family: Bacterial small subunit ribosomal RNA
Source: RNAcentral
AGUGAACGCUGGCGGCGUGCUUAACACAUGCAAGUCGAACGAGAACGGAUUAUAGCUUGCUAUAAUUGUCAGCUUAGUGGCGCACGGGUGCGUAACGCGUGGGAAUCUGCCCUUGGGUUCGGAAUAACAGUUAGAAAUGACUGCUAAUACCGGAUGAUGUCUUCGGACCAAAGAUUUAUCGCCCAAGGAUGAGCCCGCGUAGGAUUAGGUAGUUGGUGGGGUAAAAGGCCUACCAAGCCGACGAUCCUUAGCUGGUCUGAGAGGACGACCAGCCACACUGGAACUGAGACACGGUCCAGACUCCUACGGGAGGCAGCAGUGGGGAAUUUUGGACAAUGGGCGCAAGCCUGAUCCAGCAAUGCCGCGUGCAGGAAGAAGGCCUUCGGGUUGUAAACUGCUUUUGUACGGAACGAAACGGUCCUGGUUAAUACCCGGGGCUAAUGACGGUACCGUAAGAAUAAGCACCGGCUAACUACGUG